CUAAAAUCUGUGACACAUCCUCUUCCGUGUCCUUCCCCUUUCACUGUGGGAUACAAAUGGGCACAAGGUCCCGGGGACGAUAGAGCCACACCCAGAAGAAGCCUGACUUCCCAAAUGAUUUUGUAGAGGGGAACUGCCCUGCUGACUAGAACCAACGUGGACUAUUUCUCCAACAGGAGAAAAGAAAGAAAUUUAACCUGUCCUCACUAAUGCAGUGAAGAAAUGGGCAAUGAGAACACUCUGCCAAGUGAAGGUGGCUGACAUUUGGGGAGAAACCUGCUCACCCUGAGAAUCACCUUGGAAUUACUGAAGGUGUGUCCAUCCCCCCUGAGAGAGUGCACAGCGAGUAGAUGUGUAGAUGAACUGCUGUAGCCAUUUUGCCUCCUCCAGGGAAGCUGGCCAUAAGCUGAGGCAGAUGCUACUGAAGUCAGAGAGAGGGAAAGAAAUAUGGGUCCCAGCUGAUACCAUUGAGUUGCUGGAGCAAACAACCCUGAUGUCUGUCAUAACAGUCCAGUUACAGAAGUCAAUACAUUCUAUUGUUUAAGCCAGUUUGUGUUGCAUUUUGUGGAAGAUGUAAAGAUGUGCUGUCCAGAUUCCUCUCUAAGAGAAGACUUGCUGUGCAGCUCAGAGGAGUGUGGUUAGAAGGCAGCCCCAGCUGUCAGCUUCUUCAGGAUCUGCCUCAGCUGUAGAGAGCCUUCUUGCUUGAGAUGGCACCCUUCCUGGGGCAGACAGUAUCCCGUAUAAAGGGCUGACCAUUUCAGCCUGACUCAGGAUACUUGGAAGGGCAAUACCCAUUUCAGAGCUUCCUCUCCAGUUUGCUGAGGAUUCCUUGGACCUGCAUAGCAGUUCAAUUUCUUCCUCUGACCAAUCCUGCUUCCUAUCCAUUCCUCAUAAGAAUCUUUCUCCCCAUCUCCAUAUGAGUGUCUACUUCUGAAAAACCUAGUCUGUGACAAUUUUUCUGCAACAUCAGGCAAAAGCAUCCUAACUGAGAUUCAGUGGGAUAGUCUGAACUGGGUCUUGUAUAGAGGAAGGGCAAUGCACUCAUCCUCUCUCUUAUUUUUAACUUUGUAUUGUGGAAAUUUUCAAGCAUACACAAAAAAUAGAAAGAAUGUAAUGAAACCCAAUAUAUCCACCUUCAACAAUAUCAAUAUAUGACCAAUCUUUAUCAUCUGAAACCUCUCAUACUAUUUUAAAAUGUCUCAGACAUUAUAUUAUUUCAUCCAUAAAUACCACAGUGCACUGAUGUUUGCUUUGAGAUGCAAUGCAAUGCCUUUGCAUUCUCCUCCCAAUCCAACUUGCAUUCUCCUUCCAACCCAACUGCUAUCUACUGUCUAAUCUUUUCUUCCUCUUCUCACCACCACAGCUUUCAAAAGAAGAAGUAUUUUAAUAGGAGAAAGGGGCAGUAAUAGUAGGGGAGAGAAGGGCCCAGAACUAAGCGUGGGAUCCAUUCAUUCUUUCGUUCAUUCAACAAAUAUUUUAGACCUGUCGUCUUCCAGAGUCUUGGGAUAGUCAGUUGUUAACCAUGUGAGUGGUUGUUCAGAUAGGCAGUGCAAUGAUGUCUUUGGUCAGAAAAACUAACAAGAGAGAAAGAGGAAGUGGGGAAAGGACUGAGGAAGACAAAGGAAAGAAAGAAAGAAGGAAAAAAAGGAAGGAAGGAAGUAUCACAGUGGGAAGUAUCAUCCAUUUUUUCCUAUUAGACUGGAGAAGACAAGGUUUACACCAGGGAGCACCUUUGAGAGGAAAAUGAGGCCGAGAGGUGAAGGGAUUUAAGGUCGUAUGGCUAGUUAAUAGCAGAGCUAGGCAUAGAACCCAAACAAGCUGACUCUGAGCCUUGUGUAAAUUAUGAUUGUUUGAAACUCUUAAAAAAGUGGUUCAAAUCAUUUAAAGUUUGCCUAAAACAUCAUAUUUUGUAUUUAUUUUUAUCAAGUUAUGGUAUAUUGGAAGCAAAGGGGGAAACAUGCACUAGUUGAAUGAAGAAACUAGAUGGAUCUAUGCUAACAUUAACAUUGAAUUAUUUUUCUUUAAAAGGUCUGCCUCCCUCACCAGAUAGGAAGCUCCUUGAAGGCAGGAGAUUAUUUUAUUCAUCUUUGUAUCCCUAAUGCCUGAAUGAAUAAAUGGAUAAAUGGAGUUAGGAGGCUUAUAUUCUAAAAUUACUGCCACUGGCUAACUUUGUGACUUCCAGCACAUUAUUCAAUUCCUAUGGUCCACAGAUUCAUUAAAAAUAUCAUUGACCAUUUUUCAUGACAGUGGUGGGAAAAAUCUUAAAUUUCACCUACCCCAACUAUAUUAUUCUAUGGGUCUAUGGGAUUAACUGG
This 2315-nucleotide long non-coding RNA is filed under the name Equus asinus (donkey). Its description in RNAcentral is "lncRNA (ENSEASG00005034269.1, ENSEASG00020035263.1)". The record is from RNAcentral. Lineage: Eukaryota; Metazoa; Chordata; Mammalia; Perissodactyla; Equidae.